UACAGAGGGUGCGAGCGUUGUCCGGAAUCACUGGGCGUAAAGGGCGCGUAGGUGGCGCUCCAAGUCCGCGGUGAAAGCUCGAUGCUCAACAUCGAGUCGGCCACGGAGACUGGAGGGCUCGAGCACUGUAGGGGCAGAUGGAAUUCCGGGUGUAGCGGUGGAAUGCGUAGAGAUCCGGAAGAACACCGGUGGCGAAGGCGGUCUGCUGGGCAGUAGCUGACACUGAUGCGCGACAGCGUGGGGAGCAAACAGG
Molecule: ribosomal RNA, 253 nt
Filed under: uncultured bacterium
Lineage: Bacteria
Description: partial 16S ribosomal RNA
Rfam family: Bacterial small subunit ribosomal RNA
Source: RNAcentral